RNAcentral lists this ribosomal RNA (867 nucleotides) under Prillieuxina baccharidincola. Its description in RNAcentral is "eukaryotic LSU rRNA". It matches the Rfam family "Eukaryotic large subunit ribosomal RNA", at positions 54 to 952 of the family's 3401-position model. Lineage: Eukaryota; Fungi; Ascomycota; Dothideomycetes; Asterinales; Asterinaceae. The record is from RNAcentral.
AGGAAGAGAAACCAACAGGGAUUGCCCUAGUAACGGCGAGUGAAGCGGCAACAGCUCAAAUUUGAAAUCCGGCGCCGUCGGCGCCCGAGUUGUAAUUUGUAGAGGGUGGCCCGGGUCCGUCCCCGUCUAAGUCCCCUGGAACGGGGCGUCGUAGAGGGUGAGAAUCCCGUAUGCGACGGGGCGCGACGUACCCGUGUGGGCCCCCUUCGACGAGUCGAGUUGUUUGGGAAUGCAGCUCUAAAUGGGAGGUAAAUUCCUUCUAAAGCUAAAUACCGGCCAGAGACCGAUAGCGCACAAGUAGAGUGAUCGAAAGAUGAAAAGCACUUUGGAAAGAGAGUUAAAAAGCACGUGAAAUUGUUGAAAGGGAAGCGCUCACGACCAGACUCGGGUGCGGGUGCUCAACCACUCCGGUGCAUCGCCUGUACCCGGGCCAGCAUCGGUUCGGGCGGUCGGACAAAGGCCCCGGGAACGUAGCUCCCCUCGGGGAGUGUUAUAGCCCGGGGCGCAAUGCGGCCCGCCCGGACCGAGGACCGCGUUCGCUAGGAUGCUGGCGUAAUGGUCGUUAGCGGCCCGUCUUGAAACACGGACCAAGGAGUCUACCAUCUGUGCGAGUCUUAGGGUGUCAAACCCCUGGGCGCAAUGAAAGUGAACGGAGGUGGGAACUUUUGUGCACCAUCGACCGAUCCAGAAGUCUUCGGACGGAUUUGAGUAAGAGCACCGCUGGUGGGACCCGAAAGAUGGUGAACUAUGCGCGGAUAGGGUGAAGCCAGAGGAAACUCUGGUGGAGGCUCGCAGCGGUUCUGACGUGCAAAUCGAUCGUCAAAUCUACGCAUAGGGGCGAAAGACUAAUCGAACCAUCUAGUAGCU